GAGAGGCAGGGGACUUGUGUGAGGUAUGGAGAGGAGAUGAGUUAUUUGCCAGCUCCUGCCCUUCAGGUUUAGGUGUGAAGCACAAACUCAUGUACCCUCCACCCCGUACAUCAUACAAAUAGCAAGCAGGUCUCCUGUGGCUUGUUAGCUUGAGCACCAACAAAGAAACCUUGGGCUGGAGGCGAGAGGCGAGAAGCUUGGGCAUGAUAUCAGCACUCUAAGACCAUAGCUGCAUCCAGGUGGUCUGAAGUCACGCCAGAAGGGAUGCCAUAUCUCCACCUUGGAUUGGAACCAAAGAGGGAAGGUGACCUUGGAGAGGUUAUGUGCUUCUGCUCUGAUGAGUCAUCAUCGCCCAGGGAGAAGACCUGUGAUUCUCAGUGUUUCAGGGUUCCUGCCUGUCUGGUUAUGAGAGUAGGAAUUGGGGUGAGUCUCUCCUCCCACUCUGUGCUACAUUCAGUCUUCCUGAUGAAGACUUUGUGUUCUAUAUUCUCCAUGACACCUUCCAGUUCUUGCAUUU
This 517-nucleotide long non-coding RNA is filed under the name Ovis aries (sheep). Its description in RNAcentral is "lncRNA (ENSOARG00000025427.1)". The record is from RNAcentral. Lineage: Eukaryota; Metazoa; Chordata; Mammalia; Artiodactyla; Bovidae.